AAUUUUUGACAAUGGGCGCAAGCCUGAUCCAGCCAUGCCGCGUGAGUGAAGAAGGCCUUCGGGUUAUAAAGCUCUUUCGGACGGAAAGAAAUCGCGCAGGCUAAUACCCUGCGCGGAUGACGGUACCUUCUUCAGAAGCAACGGCUAACUACUUGCCAGCAGCCGCUGUAAUACUUAGGGCGCGGGCGUUAAGCGGAAUUACUGGGCGUAAUGCGUGCGCAGGCGGUUGAUUAAGACAGGCGUGAAAUCCCCGGGCUUAACCUGGGAACUGCGCUUGUGACUGGUCAGCUAGAGUACGGCAGAGGGGGGUGGAAUUCCACGUGUAGCAGUGAAAUGCGUAGAGAUGUGGAGGAACACCGAUGGCGAAGGCAGCCCCCUGGGCCGAUACUGACGCUCAUGCACGAAAGCGUGGGUAGCAAACAGG
RNAcentral lists this ribosomal RNA (424 nucleotides) under uncultured bacterium. RNAcentral's name for it is "partial 16S ribosomal RNA". It matches the Rfam family "Bacterial small subunit ribosomal RNA", at positions 360 to 776 of the family's 1533-position model. The record is from RNAcentral.